UACGUAGGGGGCAAGCGUUGUCCGGAAUGACUGGGCGUAAAGGGAGUGUAGGCGGCCUUGCAAGUUAGAUGUGAAAUCCUACGGCUUAACCGUAGAACUGCAUCUAAAACUGUGAGGCUGGAGUGCAGGAGAGGUGAGUGGAAUUCGUGGUGUAGCGGUGAAAUGCUUAGAUAUCACGAAGAACUCCGAUUGCGAAGGCAGCCUGCUGGACUGUAACUGACGCUGAUGCUCGAAAGUGUGGGUAUCAAACAGG
RNAcentral lists this ribosomal RNA (253 nucleotides) under uncultured Eubacteriales bacterium. RNAcentral describes it as "uncultured Clostridiales bacterium partial 16S ribosomal RNA". It matches the Rfam family "Bacterial small subunit ribosomal RNA", at positions 524 to 776 of the family's 1533-position model. Lineage: Bacteria; Bacillati; Bacillota; Clostridia; Eubacteriales. The record is from RNAcentral.